UUCAACACUACUAUAUAACAAAUAAUUUGAGGAGAUGAUUUGAAGCGGUGCUACAAUCUACAGUGGUCGGUGGACAAGUGUGAUGGACACCAGAGCCAGAUGCUUUAGUUCACACUAUGACUGUGACUGAUGUACCUCUGCAACAAACUGACUGUCUUACUUGUAACCUGAUUGGAGGACGGUCUAGGGAAGGAUAUAGGAAUUAAGCUUACUUCACAGCUAUACUCUACAAAAGUACCUUCAGCGAAUAGGACGUCAACAUCCAUCUUGUUUAUAUCAAUGAUUGUGGACAUUACUUUUGUAUUCUUUGUAAUUUAAUUCUCUGACGUUGUAUUCUCUUAAUACAUUGCGUUUGCUAGAAUUCUUGUGUGUAAGCUUUAGAACUCUAGAUGUCAAACACAGAUUUACGGCCAAGUGUCAACCCGGGGUUUGAAGCACGUUAUACCAGUUUCAACUUUUAUCAGACUGAUCCAUCGAUUCAGCUAUGACAUUUUUAGUUCUGAUUAAACAAAUGGUUUUUAUUACAUUGUUAAUUACAUUAAAAUACAGUUUGAUGUUUAAAACGGGGCAUAUGAAAGUUUUUUAUCUUGUAAAACCUCGCCUAAUCGACGAAGUUACAGUCAGAUCGAAAAUUAGAAAUAGCUUAUUUUUAAAAGCAGCUGAAAGAUUCGUUGGAAUUUAUUACACUGACCAUGACAUAAGAUCCAAAUUCCAAACUGGGUGUUAGGGAAAUGCAGCGGACUAAAUGUUAUUUUACAUCUUCCCCGUCACUGAUCACUGUCACAUUUAAAGCUGCAAAUGGUGUAUUUGUUAUGCCAACUAACACCAGAACAAACAGAGAACUUGUUAAAGUUCAAAUUUAGCCCCGUAAAACUCAAUGUAUGUUAUGUAACGGCUAAUGUAAUGUUCUUACAGGAUCGUUGACAUAUUACGUAAUCACGUCCUGAACAACGUUUAAUUUGACCCCCCCCCC
Molecule: long non-coding RNA, 973 nt
Organism: Bolinopsis microptera
Lineage: Eukaryota; Metazoa; Ctenophora; Tentaculata; Lobata; Bolinopsidae
Exons: 3
Source: RefSeq, a predicted model, not a curated record